GACGAACGCUGGCGGCGUGCUUAACACAUGCAAGUCGAACGGAAAGGCCCUGCUUGCAGGGUACUCGAGUGGCGAACGGGUGAGUAACACGUGGGUGAUCUGCCCUGCACUUCGGGAUAAGCCUGGGAAACUGGGUCUAAUACCGGAUAGGAGCCAUUUUUAGUGUGAUGGCUGGAAAGUUUUUUCGGUGUAGGAUGAGCUCGCGGCCUAUCAGCUUGUUGGUGGGGUAAUGGCCUACCAAGGCGGCGACGGGUAGCCGGCCUGAGAGGGUGGACGGCCACAUUGGGACUGAGAUACGGCCCAGACUCCUACGGGAGGCAGCGGUGGGGAAUAUUGCACAAUGGGCGCAAGCCUGAUGCAGCGACGCCGCGUGGGGGAUGACGGCCUUCGGGUUGUAAACUCCUUUCGCUAGGGACGAAGCUUUUUGUGACGGUACCUAGAUAAGAAGCGCCGGCUAACUACGUG
This 465-nucleotide ribosomal RNA is filed under the name uncultured bacterium. Its description in RNAcentral is "partial 16S ribosomal RNA". It matches the Rfam family "Bacterial small subunit ribosomal RNA", at positions 28 to 507 of the family's 1533-position model. The record is from RNAcentral.